GUGCUCGCUUCAGCAGCACAUGUACUAAAAUUGAAACGAUACAGAGAUUAGCAUGUCUCCUGCGCAAAAGAAAAAAGAAAAAAACCUGGGACUCAACAGUAACGU
RNAcentral lists this small nuclear RNA (105 nucleotides) under Salvator merianae (Argentine black and white tegu). The record is from RNAcentral. Lineage: Eukaryota; Metazoa; Chordata; Lepidosauria; Squamata; Teiidae.